GAUGAACGCUGGCGGCGUGCCUAAUACAUGCAAGUCGAGCGAACGGACGAGAAGCUUGCUUCUCUGAUGUUAGCGGCGGACGGGUGAGUAACACGUGGAUAACCUACCUAUAAGACUGGGAUAACUACGGGAAACCGGAGCUAAUACCGGAUAAUAUUUUGAACCGCAUGGUUCAAAAGUGAAAGACGGUCUUGCUGUCACUUAUAGCUGGAUCCGCGCUGCAUUAGCUAGUUGGUAAGGUAACGGCCUACCAAGGCAACGAUGCAUAGCCGACCUGAGAGGAUGAUCAGCCACACUGGAACUGAGACACGGUCCAGACUCCUACGGGAGGCAGCAGUAGGGAAUCUUCCGCAAUGGGCGAAAGCCUGACGGAGCAACGCCGCGUGAGUGAUGAAGGUCUUCGGAUCGUAAAACUCUGUUAUUAGGGAAGAACAUAUGUGGAAGGAACUGUGGACAUCUUGACGGUACCUAAUCAGAAAGCCACGGCUAACUACGUG
Molecule: ribosomal RNA, 497 nt
Filed under: uncultured bacterium
Lineage: Bacteria
Description: partial 16S ribosomal RNA
Rfam family: Bacterial small subunit ribosomal RNA
Source: RNAcentral